Molecule: ribosomal RNA, 447 nt
Filed under: uncultured bacterium
Lineage: Bacteria
Description: bacterial SSU rRNA
Rfam family: Bacterial small subunit ribosomal RNA
Source: RNAcentral
UCGGGAAUUUUGGGCAAUGGGCGAAAGCCUGACCCAGCAACGCCGCGUGAAGGAUGAAGUAUUUCGGUAUGUAAACUUCGAAAGAAUAGGAAGAAUAAAUGACGGUACUAUUUAUAAGGUCCGGCUAACUACGUGCCAGCAGCCGCGGUAAUACGUAGGGACCAAGCGUUGCUCGGAUUUACUGGGCGUAAAGGGCGCGUAGGCGGCAAUUCAAGUCAUCUGUGAAAUCUCCGGGCUUAACUCGGAACGGUCAGAUGAUACUGCUUUGCUAGAGUGCAGAAGGGGCAAUCGGAAUUCUUGGUGUAGCGGUGAAAUGCGUAGAUAUCAAGAGGAACACCUGAGGUGAAGACGGGUUGCUGGGCUGACACUGACGCUGAGGCGCGAAAGCCAGGGGAGCAAACGGGAUUAGAUACCCAGGUAGUCCCUGAGCGGGCUGGCAAGGCGCAU